This is a non-coding RNA of Hydra vulgaris (swiftwater hydra), 1044 nucleotides long. The record is from RefSeq and is a predicted model, not a curated record. Lineage: Eukaryota; Metazoa; Cnidaria; Hydrozoa; Anthoathecata; Hydridae.
UGCCAACACAAUGCCCCCAGAUAACGGUAAGAUGUCGUAAAAACACCAAAAGUAAGCAUUUCAAGCGCAAUGAGACUUGAUCGAUUUUUAUAUUUUAUAUUGUAGUACAUAGUCUAUGUAAAACAGAGCUGUAAAAAGAAAUCCUGCAACAACUUUAGCAACUGAAUCAGAUUUUCAAUAUGAGGUUGUGCAUUUUUUGUGUGGUGCAUCAGACCGCAAUGGCGGACAAAAAGUUAAACUAGACCAAAAAAACAAACAAGCCAAGAAAAAAGUGAUGCCUACAUCAAGUUUUCCAAUGCCAUUAAAUAAAGAGACAUUUUUUAGUUCAGAAGAUGAAUAACAUUGUUAAAUAAAAUAAGCAUCUUUGUUUACAAUAACCUCUUGUCUAUGAGAUUGUAGAUGAGAAUUUGAAUCGUGAUAUUGAAUCUUACCAGAGAAUAAAGAAACCGUUUACCUCAACCAGAUUUAUAUUUCAUAGAAUUAUGUUGACCAUGGUCCAAAUAUUGCCAUGGAUGUGCACUUGUGUCUAAGGCUUAUGCUUUGCAAAAGGUUCACCAUUGUACUUAAGUUGCUGUGGGUUUUAUGGUUUUACUUCCAACCUGGCAUAUAAAUGCACUUAGUAUCUGAAGUUAUUUGUCAAUAACUGGUGAUCAGACUAUUUCAAACGAACACGUUUUUAAGGGCUUAGUUUCUUAUCUUUGUUGUAUUAGCUCUAAACUUGACUGUUUCAAUAUUUUCAUUAUAUAUAAAUUGCCUGUUUUUAGGUGAAAGUUAGAAGUCUGCAGACUGCAACGUAAAUCAAUUUUCAACACAUGGUUUCCUGAAUAUAUUUAGUUUUCGAUUGAAAUGAGAAUAAACUGAACUUAUAGAUAUGUUGAAAAUUAACUAUUUUAUCUUUUAAACGUUCGCUAAACGCAAGUGAAGCAAUAAUCUAUAGAUGCAAAUAUACUUUAUAUUUUGCUUUAGUUUAAAAAAAAAAUUAUUGUUACUUUUAUAUUCAUGUUGUAAUUGUAAAUUGCAAUUUUAAAAUGAUUUUUAUUAUAA